AUCAGUAGCUGGUUUUAGAGGAUGAUCAGCAACACUGGGACUGAGACACGGCCCAGACUCCUACGGGAGGCAGCAGUGGGGAAUCUUAGACAAUGGGCGCAAGCCUGAUCUAGCCAUGCCGCGUGAGUGAUGAAGGCCUUAGGGUCGUAAAGCUCUUUCGCCAGAGAUGAUAAUGACAGUAUCUGGUAAAGAAACCCCGGCUAACUCCGUGCCAGCAGCCGCGGUAAUACGGAGGGGGUUAGCGUUGUUCGGAAUUACUGGGCGUAAAGCGCACGUAGGCGGAUCAGAAAGUUGGGGGUGAAAUCCCAGGGCUCAACCCUGGAACGGCCUCCAAAACUCCUGGUCUUGAGUUCGAGAGAGGUGAGUGGAAUUCCGAGUGUAGAGGUGAAA
This 390-nucleotide ribosomal RNA is filed under the name Seohaeicola sp. Its description in RNAcentral is "bacterial SSU rRNA". It matches the Rfam family "Bacterial small subunit ribosomal RNA", at positions 279 to 686 of the family's 1533-position model. The record is from RNAcentral. Lineage: Bacteria; Pseudomonadati; Pseudomonadota; Alphaproteobacteria; Rhodobacterales; Roseobacteraceae.